Molecule: transfer RNA, 83 nt
Filed under: Felis catus (domestic cat)
Lineage: Eukaryota; Metazoa; Chordata; Mammalia; Carnivora; Felidae
Rfam family: tRNA
About the family: Transfer RNA (tRNA) molecules are approximately 80 nucleotides in length. Their secondary structure includes four short double-helical elements and three loops (D, anti-codon, and T loops). Further hydrogen bonds mediate the characteristic L-shaped molecular structure. tRNAs have two regions of fundamental functional importance: the anti-codon, which is responsible for specific mRNA codon recognition, and the 3' end, to which the tRNAs corresponding amino acid is attached (by aminoacyl-tRNA synthetases). tRNAs cope with the degeneracy of the genetic code in two manners: having more than one tRNA (with a specific anti-codon) for a particular amino acid; and 'wobble' base-pairing, i.e. permitting non-standard base-pairing at the 3rd anti-codon position.
Source: Rfam by way of RNAcentral
GCUCAGUUGGUUAAGCAGCUGACUCCUGAUUUCUGCUCAGGUCAUGAUCUCACAGUUUGUGGGUUCGAGCCCCGCAUUGGGCU